GUCGCAGAGAGUAGGUCCUGAUGGCCACAGCAGCAACUUUUGCUCCAUUGUUGACCCAAAGAGUGAUCUCUUAUAUAGCAAGGAACAAAGAGAAAGACUACAAUUCAAGCAUUGAGAUCACGAUCAAAGAUCAAGAGUUGAUUAAAGAUCCAAAAAGACUGAGCUUCAUCUUAGAGAAGAUGGAUCUAUAAUGAGAAGAAAGGUUCAAGAUUGAUCCCGAUGGAUAUCUGUAG
This 233-nucleotide long non-coding RNA is filed under the name Elaeis guineensis (African oil palm). Its description in RNAcentral is "long non-coding RNA (EGUI_LNC058249)". Lineage: Eukaryota; Viridiplantae; Streptophyta; Magnoliopsida; Arecales; Arecaceae. The record is from RNAcentral.